UAGGGAAUCUUCGGCAAUGGACGAAAGUCCUGACCGAGCAACGCCGCGUGAGUGAAGAAGGUUUUCGGAUCGUAAAACUCUGUUGGUAGAGAAGAACGUUGGUGAGAGUGGAAAGCUCAUCAAGUGACGGUAACUACCCAGAAAGGGACGGCUAACUACGUGCCAC
This 166-nucleotide ribosomal RNA is filed under the name uncultured bacterium. Its description in RNAcentral is "partial 16S rRNA". It matches the Rfam family "Bacterial small subunit ribosomal RNA", at positions 355 to 511 of the family's 1533-position model. The record is from RNAcentral.